Molecule: ribosomal RNA, 254 nt
Filed under: uncultured bacterium
Lineage: Bacteria
Description: partial small subunit ribosomal RNA
Rfam family: Bacterial small subunit ribosomal RNA
Source: RNAcentral
AGGGCGAACGCUGGCGGCGUGCUUAACACAUGCAAGUCGAGCGGAAAGGCCCUUCGGGGUACUCGAGCGGCGAACGGGUGAGUAACACGUGAGUAAUCUGCCCCUAGCUCUGGGAUAGCUCCGGGAAACCGGGAUUAAUACCAGAUACGACCACUUUAGACAUCUGCUGUGGUGGAAAGAAUUUCGGCUAGGGAUGAGCUCGCGGCCUAUCAGCUUGUUGGUGAGGUAACGGCUCACCAAGGCGACGACGGGUA